RNAcentral lists this ribosomal RNA (400 nucleotides) under phytoplankton environmental sample. RNAcentral's name for it is "partial small subunit ribosomal RNA". It matches the Rfam family "Eukaryotic small subunit ribosomal RNA", at positions 587 to 984 of the family's 1831-position model. The record is from RNAcentral.
AGCUCCAAUAGCGUAUAUUAAAGUUGUUGCAGUUAAAAAGCUCGUAGUUGGAUUUCUGGUGGCGCGGGCCGGUCCGCCCCGCAAGGGGUGUGAACUGUUGCUGUGUGCUACCUUUGUUGUCGGGAGUGGUUCUGGCAUUAGGUUGUCGGGGCCAGGAUCGGCAUCGUUUACUGUGAAAAAAUUAGAGUGUUUAAAGCAGGCUUACGCCGCUGAAUACAUUAGCAUGGAAUAAUAAGAUAAGACUUUGGUGGUCUAUUUUGUUGGUUUGCACGCCAAGGUAAUGAUUAAUAGGGAUAGUUGGGGGUAUCCAUAUUUCAUGGUCAGAGGUGAAAUUCUUGGAUUCAUGAAAGAUGCACUACUGCGAAAGCAUUUACCAAGGAUGUUUUCAUUAAUCAAGAAC